GCCGGGGUCGCCUAGCCUGGUCGAGGGCGCCGGACGCGAUCCGGUCAACCCGGGUUCGAAUCCCGGCCCCGGCACCA
Molecule: transfer RNA, 77 nt
Filed under: Thermofilum sp.
Lineage: Archaea; Thermoproteati; Thermoproteota; Thermoprotei; Thermofilales; Thermofilaceae
Description: tRNA-Arg
Rfam family: tRNA
About the family: Transfer RNA (tRNA) molecules are approximately 80 nucleotides in length.
Source: RNAcentral